GGCAUCAAAUAUUCAAAAACAAACUUGGUGAAUCAGGGAAAUGCUGUGGAUGUAGUGUAUCUUGAUUUCAGUAGAGGUUUUGGCAGAGUCCCCCAUGAUGUUCUCUCAUGGAAACGGGUAAAAUGUGGGUUGAACGAGGUAACUGUUAGGUGAAUUUGUAGCUGGUUGACUGAUCGAACCCAAAGAGUUCCUCAUCAUCCUGGAAAAAAGAGACAAGUGGGGUGCCACAGAGUUCUGUCCUGGGCCCGUUGUUGUUUAACAUAUUUAUAAAUGACUUGGAUGAAGGAAUUGAGGGGGUGCUCAUCAAAUUUGCAGAUGAAACCAAACUCUAAGAUUCUAUGAUUCUAUGAAAUCUCUUGAGGUUGAAGAAGUUGCCUACUCAUGCUUUAAGUUACUUCUUUUAAGCAUCCUGCCAUGCUCACAGUUAUUGCAGCCAAAGGGUGAUUUCUACUCCUAGAGUCCUAUAAGUUUCAUAAAGGUGAUAGUUAAUGAUAUGUCAGCCUGUGAGAGCGAAAAGUCUAAAGCUGCUAUUACCAGCCUGCUGCCACCACUUGAGAAAUUUUCUUCUGUUUUAUUGCACCGUACCUUGCACUGCUGGUUGUUGAGCACUGUGAAAAUUGUUGAUCAUCCCCACAACUACAAUGUGGGAAAAGAAUUGGCCAAGCCACACUGAAUAAGCAAUGAUGUAUUUUAAAUAAGAGCAACAGCUUAAUAGCAUUCUGCAGAAAAUUGACAAAACCAAGCAGAUUAUAUAAAACAGGACAAAAUGCUGCUUUUGUAGCUAAUCCCCAUGUUAGCUAAUCCCCAUGUUACUUUCCCUUUAAGACACGGACCUUAUUACAAUUUAUAAAUGGACUACCCCUUUCAUCACAUUCCAAGGAUUUCCCACGUGUCCUUAAAUCCUCAGUUUAUAAGUGGUCUAACUGAAUCUUCUCCCUCCCUCCAACUGCUCUUUUUUAAAAAUAUAAUUUUUAUUAACAAACCAAUCAAAUCACAUUAAUUCCAAAUUACAAAGCCAAAUUUUUAAAUUUUUGUUGGGGGUACCCAUGCUUCGAGCUCCGAAAGGGAUCCAAACAUCUCUCUUGCUACUGCUUUAAUAUUCACAGUUUGGUCCAAUCUUCACUUUAUUAUUUUCCUCAUCUUCUUGUUGUUAUCAUAUAUUCCUUUCUUUGUGACCUCUGAUGGUGUCCACAAGCGGGUUGAAAACAAAUGUUGUUAUAUCCUGUGUGAAUUUUCCAUUCUUCCAAGAGCCAUAUUCAGACAAACAGACACCAUUUCAACACUUCCGUACAAAGCAUUCUUAAAGUCUGCCCGUUAAUCUUCGCAGGCCUGUCAGUCUCUCCUCAAUUUUCUUAGGGGGUUCUCCAACUGCUCUUAGAGCAACACUGUUCAGUCACAUUUCUACAAUCUCCAGAGCCAAUUGAAACAAUGUGCCUCCUUUCUUCUUUCCUAAUAAUUAACAUAGUGAUAAUAAUUUAUUAGUAGUAGAAAUAAUAAUUUUCCAGUAAUUAACAUAUAAUAUAUUUUAUUCUAUAUCUCUUAAUCCAUAGACUUUACACUGGGUAGACUUUACAAUGAUGCUUUUAUAACUAUAAAGAAGAGUGCACAAACAGAACUUCACACAAGCUGGCUCCGGAUCCAAAUAUAUAAGUUACUGUGAUUGGCAUGUAAAGUCCUAAAUACUUCUCCCAAUAGUUCCCCAACAUCUGCCAGUCUUCCAUCCUGCCUAGAGAAAAGCUCCUGCAUCAAAGGGAGGGACCAAUUUGUCCCAUUUGUGUUAAGAUGUCCAUCCAACCUUUUUUUUUAAUAUCACUUGGCAAUCAGAGAAGGCUACUGUAGCAACCGCCCUCAUUAAAGGUGGAAGGGAGGCAAUUUGAUGGGAUUUUUGAUUGCUUUUAAAGCUUAGAUGCUCCCUCUCAGAACACUUGAGAUGUCUGGUGUAAUAUGUAUGUGGUAAUGUUUCUUAAUAACCAGCAACAACCUAUUGCAAUCAUGUGAAAUUAGAGUUUGUUACUACUUGGCAAAUUAGAGGAUCAAAAUAAGGAUGUCAUUGGUCUUACACUACUAGGAAAACACUCCGAGCUCCCUCUGCCAUAUGUCUCUCUUUGGGGCAGAAGUUGUGAGCAUGUCAGAAGUGCAAUGAGCUCCUGGCGGAACUGGAAGUGUUAGAGAGGAAAAGUGAGUGAUGGAUAUGAUAGCUGGAUAUCUUUCCCACAAUGACAGCUCCCCUGCUGUCAGGGAGAAUGAAGGUCUUGAAAAAGGAUAACAUCACCUCACCUUCUAUUCCCUUAGAAGGUACCCAUUCCUUGGCGGUUGCUAGUGUAUCCUCACAUGCUGAGGAUACCUUUCUAGUGGGUAGUGGGAUCAUUGUUGUUGUUUAGUCAUUUAGUCGUGUCCGACUCUUCGUGACCCCAUGGACCAGAGCAUGCCAGGCACUCAUGUCUUCCACUGCCUCCUGCAGUUUGGUCAGACUCAUGUUUGUAGCUUCGAGAACACUGUCCAACCAUCUCGUCCUCUGUUGUCCCCUUCUCCUUGUGCCCUCAAUCUUUCCCAACAUCAGUGUCUUUUCCAUGGAGUCUUCUCUUCUCAUGAGGUGGCCAAAGUAUUGGAGCCUCAGCUUCACGAUCUGUCCUUCCAGUGAGCACUCAGGGCUAAUUUCCUUAAGAAUGGAUGCGUUUGAUCUUCUUGCAGUCCAUGGGACUCUCAAGAGUCUCCUCCAGCACCAUAAUUCAAAAGCAUCAGCCUUCUUUAUGGUCCAGCUCUCACUUCCAUACAUCACUACCGGGAAAACCAUGGCUUUAACUAUACAGACCUUUGUUGGCAAGGUGAUGUCUCUGCUUUUUAAGAUGCUGUCUAGGUUUGCCAUCGCCUUUCUCCCAAGGAGUAGGCGUCUUUUAAUUUUGUGACUGCUGUCGCCAUCUGCAGUGAUCAUGGAGCCCAAGAAAGUAAAAUCUCUCACUGCCUCCAUUUCUUCCCCUUCUAUUUUAUCUAUUAUUUUAUUUAUUUAUGUAAUUUUAUUUAUACCCCGCCUUCCCCAGCCAAGACCAGGCUCAAUUGACAGACCAGGAGAGAGACCUUGGGGUCAUAGUAGAUACCGUACUUUUCUGUGUAUAAGACUAUGUUAAUUUCUCAUAAAAUAAUCUCUAAAAUUGGGGUCGUCCUAUACAUGAGUAGUGCAGAGUGGGGAUGGGGGAUUGGUUUCUGCUGCGAGCAGGAGAUUUUCAGCGAUGAUUGUUCUGUUGAUUGGUGGCUGUGACAAGGGCUGCUGUUGAUUGGCUGGUGCUUUGGCAAUUGGGCUGGUGACUGGAGGCUGCUGGUUGCGAGCGCGCAGACGAUUUAAGGCCUAUGCGAUGCGUGUGAGAGAUUGGAAGUGUUGGUCAGGUGGGUGAGCAAUUUUCGUUAACCCCCCCCCAAGCUCAACAUCUGUGGGCAAUCUCCCUCCAUUAUAUUAAUUUUGAGUCCCCCCAAAUAGUCUUAUACACAGGGGGCAUAUUAUACACAUAAAAAUACGGUAAUUCAAUGAGCAUGUUGACCCAGUGUGGCAGCUGUGAAAAAGGCAAAUUCCAUGCUAGGGAUCAUUAGAAAAUGAACUGAAAAUAAAACUGCCAAUAUCAUAAUGCUGUAGUACAAAUCUAUGGUACAACCAUAUUUGGAGUACAGUACUCCUGUUACUACCUGGGAGAAAAGCCAAGAACCAAAAUGAAGGAGAAAUCUAAGCAAGCAUCACAUAAGUUGGGUGUGGACAGCAGUUGCUGAAGAGUUAAUGAGUCAGAUUUUAGCAUAUCUAGAUUAAAUAUAUAGAUUUAGCACAUCAUAUUUCUACUUCUAGGACUUUUAUCUUCUCCCUACUUUUCUUUGAUCUUUAACUCUUUUGUUUCUGUUAUGUACUGAGUUGAAUAGGAUCCAAAAUGCAGCAGUCUGAUUGGUCCUAGAACAAUGCAGCAGUAUGAUUGGUCCGCAGGAGCCACCCAAUCCAGCUCCAGGUGGAAGUGAAUCCACAACCUGAUUGGCCUACAGGAGAAUCCCGGAAUUAGCCAAUCACAUGGGGCCCAUUGUGUAAACAAUGUAUAUAAAGCAGACAUCCUGGGGGAACUUCCAUUCCUCCUCAUCACUAUGAGCUGAAUAAAGAGCAUGAAAUCC
Non-coding RNA from Podarcis lilfordi (Lilford's wall lizard), 4140 nucleotides. NCBI's taxonomy places the organism in Eukaryota, Metazoa, Chordata, Lepidosauria, Squamata, Lacertidae. The record is from the annotation of a GenBank genome assembly.